This 465-nucleotide ribosomal RNA is filed under the name uncultured bacterium. RNAcentral's name for it is "partial 16S ribosomal RNA". It matches the Rfam family "Bacterial small subunit ribosomal RNA", at positions 28 to 507 of the family's 1533-position model. The record is from RNAcentral.
GACGAACGCUGGCGGCGUGCUUAACACAUGCAAGUCGAACGGAAAGGCCCUGCUUGCAGGGUACUCGAGUGGCGAACGGGUGAGUAACACGUGGGUGAUCUGCCCUGCACUUCGGGAUAAGCCUGGGAAACUGGGUCUAAUACCGGAUAGGAGCCAUUUUUAGUGUGAUGGUUGGAAAGUUUUUUCGGUGUAGGAUGAGCUCGCGGCCUAUCAGCUUGUUGGUGGGGUCAUGGCCUACCAAGGCGGCGACGGGUAGCCGGCCUGAGGGGGUGGACGGCCACAUUGGGACUGAGAUGCGGCCCAGACUCCUACGGGAGGCAGCAGUGGGGAAUCUUGCACCAUGGGCGCCAGCCUGAUGCAGCGACGCCGCGUGGGGGAUGACGGCCUUCGGGUUGUAAACUCCUUUCGCUAGGGACGAAGCUUUUUGUGACGGUACCUAGAUAAGAAGCACCGGCUAACUACGUG